Molecule: non-coding RNA, 184 nt
Filed under: Psychrobacillus sp. FJAT-21963
Lineage: Bacteria; Bacillati; Bacillota; Bacilli; Caryophanales; Bacillaceae
Also listed under: 1 other name
Description: Lysine riboswitch aptamer
Rfam family: Lysine riboswitch aptamer
About the family: Riboswitches are metabolite binding domains within certain messenger RNAs that serve as precision sensors for their corresponding targets. Allosteric rearrangement of mRNA structure is mediated by ligand binding, and this results in modulation of gene expression.
Source: Rfam by way of RNAcentral
UAGUGGGGUAGAGGCGCGAUAUUUAACAGUCCUUAGUGGAGUUUGAGAAGCCAUGAUUCUAGGGAGAAGGAAAUGUCGCCGAAGUUUGUAAUAGUUCUCGGUAUUACUUGCUGGGUCUGUAGUGAAUAACUACAGGACUGUCCGCUAUAAACAUCCCGGUUUAUAGUGGUGUGCUAUCUCAUUU